GGCGGUGCGCCUUAUGCAUGCAAGUCGAGCGAAGCUUUUCAGUAGUUUACUACAGAAAAUGACUGAGCGGCGAACGGGUGAGUAACGCGUGAGCAAUCUACCUUAGUUACAGGGAUAGCCCGAGGAAACUCGGAUUAAUACCUGAUAUUCUUUAUUUCUCGCAUGAGAAUAAAAGGAAAGGUCAGCCGAACUAAGAUGAGCUCGCGUUCUAUCAGCUAGUUGGUGAGGUAAAAGCUUACCAAGGCUACGACGGAUAGCUGGUCUGAGAGGACGAUCAGCCACACUGGGACUGAGACACGGCCCAGACUCCUACGGGAGGCUGCAGCAGGGAAUAUUGUGCAAUGAACGAAAGUUUGACACAGCGACACCGCGUGUGGGAUGACGGAUCUAGGUUUGUAAACCACUUUCAGGAGGGAAGAAAAUGACGGUACCUCCACAAGAAGCCCCGGCCAACUACGUGCCAGCAGCCGCGGUAAUACGUAGGGGGCGAGCGUUGUCCGGAUUUAUUGGGCGUAAAGAGCUCGUAGGCGGUUCAACAAGUCGGUCGUGAAAGUUCAGGGCUCAACCCUGAAAUGUCGAUCGAUACUGUUGUGACUAGGAUACGGUAGAGGUGAGUGGAAUUCCGAGUGUAGCGGUGAAAUGCGUAGAUAUUCGGAGGAACACCAAUUGCGAAGGCAGCUCACUGGACCGCUAUCGACGCUGAGGAGCGAAAGCUAGGGGAGCAAACAGGAUUAGAUACCCUGGUAGUCCUAGCUGUAAACGAUGGAUACUAGACGUAGGAACUGGAUUGACGGUUUCUGUGUCGUAGCUAACGCGUUAAGUAUCCCGCCUGGGGAGUACGGUCGCAAGACUAAAACUCAAAGGAAUUGACGGGACCCCGCACAAGCGGCGGAGCAUGCGGCUUAAUUCGAUGAUACCCGUAGAACCUUACCUGGACUUGACA
This 943-nucleotide ribosomal RNA is filed under the name uncultured Actinomycetes bacterium. RNAcentral's name for it is "bacterial SSU rRNA". It matches the Rfam family "Bacterial small subunit ribosomal RNA", at positions 38 to 986 of the family's 1533-position model. Lineage: Bacteria; Bacillati; Actinomycetota; Actinomycetes. The record is from RNAcentral.